CAGCCGCCACGGGAAUACGUAGGUGGCAAGCGUUGUCCGGAAUUAUUGGGCGUAAAGCGCGCGCAGGCGGAUAGGUCAGUCUGUCUUAAAAGUUCGGGGCUUAACCCCGUGAUGGGAUGGAAACUGCCAAUCUAGAGUAUCGGAGAGGAAAGUGGAAUUCCUAGUGUAGCGGUGAAAUGCGUAGAUAUUAGGAAGAACACCAGUGGCGAAGGCGACUUUCUGGACGAAAACUGACGCUGAGGCGCGAAAGCCAGGGGAGCGAACGGGAUUAGAUACCCCCGUAGUCCCUGUCUCUUAUACA
This 301-nucleotide ribosomal RNA is filed under the name uncultured bacterium. Its description in RNAcentral is "partial 16S ribosomal RNA". It matches the Rfam family "Bacterial small subunit ribosomal RNA", at positions 509 to 809 of the family's 1533-position model. The record is from RNAcentral.